RNAcentral lists this unclassified non-coding RNA (289 nucleotides) under Hevea brasiliensis (rubber tree). Lineage: Eukaryota; Viridiplantae; Streptophyta; Magnoliopsida; Malpighiales; Euphorbiaceae. The record is from RNAcentral.
CUUGCUUACAAGAGCCACCUGAUCCCAAUGAGUUGUAUCCUCGACAAUCUAGAAGGGCUUUGCAUCUUGGACUUCUCUAUGUUGGUUCACUUGUAGUACUUCUUGUGUAUUCCAUCCUGUAUGGUCUGACAGCAAAGGAAUCAAACUGGCUUGGGGCUACAACAUCAGCUGCCGUGAUAAUCCUUGAUUGGAACUUGGGAGCAUGCUUGUAUGGCUUUAAGCUUCUGAAAAGUCGAGUUGUCGUACUUUUUGUUGCUGGUACAUCUCGGGUGUUCCUGAUCUGUUUUGG